ACAAUAUACAAGGUGCUGCAUGGUUGUCGUCAGCUCGUGCCGUGAGGUGUCGGUUAAGCCCAUAACGAGCGCAACCCCUAUCAUUAGUUGCCAUCAGGUCAAGCUGGGGACUCUAAUGAAACUGCCUACGCAAGUAGUGAGGAAGGUGGGGAUGACGUCAAAUCAGCACGGCCCUUACGUCCAGGGCUACACACGUGCUACAAUGGCCGGUACAAAGGGCAGCUACCUGGUGACAGGAUGCUAAUCUCAAAAGCCGGUCUCAGUUCGGAUCGGAGUCUGCAACCCGACUGCGUGAAGUCGGAAUCGCUAGUAAUCGUGAAAUCAGAAUGUCACGGUGAAUACGUUCCCGGGCCUU
Molecule: ribosomal RNA, 355 nt
Filed under: uncultured Sphingobacteriales bacterium
Lineage: Bacteria; Pseudomonadati; Bacteroidota; Sphingobacteriia; Sphingobacteriales
Description: bacterial SSU rRNA
Rfam family: Bacterial small subunit ribosomal RNA
Source: RNAcentral